This 91-nucleotide transfer RNA is filed under the name Lautropia mirabilis. RNAcentral's name for it is "tRNA-His(atg)". The record is from RNAcentral. Lineage: Bacteria; Pseudomonadati; Pseudomonadota; Betaproteobacteria; Burkholderiales; Burkholderiaceae.
CCUUCAUCCAGGCCGGCCUGGCCGAUCAUGUGCUUUAUGACGGCACACGGCUGCCGCUGGCAGAUGCGUCGUUCGACCGGGCGCUGGCGGU